Molecule: ribosomal RNA, 400 nt
Filed under: uncultured bacterium
Lineage: Bacteria
Description: bacterial SSU rRNA
Rfam family: Bacterial small subunit ribosomal RNA
Source: RNAcentral
GGGGAAUAUUGGACAAUGGGCGCAAGCCUGAUCCAGCCAUGCCGCGUGAGUGACGAAGGUCUUCGGAUUGUAAAGCUCUUUUGGCGGGGACGAUAAUGACGGUACCCGCAGAAUAAGCCCCGGCUAACUUCGUGCCAGCAGCCGCGGUAAUACGAAGGGGGCUAGCGUUGUUCGGAAUUACUGGGCGUAAAGCGCACGUAGGCGGACUCUUAAGUCAGGGGUGAAAUCCCGGGGCUCAACCUCGGAACUGCCUUUGAUACUGUGAGUCUCGAGACCGGAAGAGGUGAGUGGAAUUCCUAGUGUAGAGGUGAAAUUCGUAGAUAUUAGGAAGAACACCAGUGGCGAAGGCGGCUCACUGGUCCGGUUCUGACGCUGAGGUGCGAAAGCGUGGGGAGCAAAC